UACGUAGGUGGCAAGCGUUGUCCGGAUUUACUGGGAGUAAAGAGCGCGCAGGCGGUCGUUCAAGUCGCGUGUGAAAGCCCCCGGCUCAACUGGGGAGGGUCACGCGAUACUGAUCGACUGGAAGGCAGGAGAGGGUAGUGGAAUUCCCGGUGUAGUGGUGAAAUGCGUAGAUAUCGGGAGGAACACCAGUGGCGAAGGCGACUACCUGGCCUGUUCUUGACGCUGAGGCGCGAAAGCUAGGGGAGCAAACGGG
This 253-nucleotide ribosomal RNA is filed under the name uncultured bacterium. RNAcentral describes it as "partial 16S ribosomal RNA". It matches the Rfam family "Bacterial small subunit ribosomal RNA", at positions 524 to 776 of the family's 1533-position model. The record is from RNAcentral.